UUUGAUGGUUCAGUAAUUUCAUGAAUCCCUAUGUUUGUUGCUACUUUUUCAGAGCAUGGCAACAUGUUCAUUGUUCUUCAGUACCUUGGUCAUUUCUUUUCUCUUCAGUAAUUUUCUUUUCAUUAGUAUUUUUCCUUUUCUUUUAGUAUUUAUUUUUUAGCAUACAUUCAGUAAUUGAUGGUUCAGUAAUUUCACAUAUUCUCCUUAACUUUUAUUGCUUGAUAGUAUUCUUCUUAAUUCUUUUCCAUCAUUCAUU
RNAcentral lists this long non-coding RNA (256 nucleotides) under Setaria viridis. Its description in RNAcentral is "long non-coding RNA (SVIR_LNC000810)". Lineage: Eukaryota; Viridiplantae; Streptophyta; Magnoliopsida; Poales; Poaceae. The record is from RNAcentral.